GGCGAACGCUGGCGGUGUGCUUAACACAUGCAAGUCGUGCGACGAACCAGACUUCGGUCUGGGGCAAAGCGGCGAACGGGUGAGUAACACGUGGGUAAUCUGCCCCGAUGACUGGGACAACCCGAGGAAACUCGGGCUAAUACCGGAUGUGGUGCCUGGACUCAAGUCCGGUCACUAAAGGUAGCUUCGGCUUCCGCAUUGGGAGGGCCCGCGGCCCAUUAGCUUGUUGGUGGGGUCAAGGCCUACCAAGGCAACGAUGGGUAGCUGGUCUGAGAGGACGAUCAGCCACACUGGGACUGAGACACGGCCCAGACUCCUACGGGAGGCAGCAGUGGGGAAUCUUGCGCAAUGCGCGAAAGCGUGACGCAGCAACACCGCGUGAGGGAAGACGGCCUUAGGGUUGUAAACCUCUUUCAGAUGGGACGAAGGUGAUGCGGUGAAUAGCCGAUGUCAUUGACGGUACCGUCAGAAGAAGCUCUGGCUAACUACGUG
RNAcentral lists this ribosomal RNA (492 nucleotides) under uncultured bacterium. Its description in RNAcentral is "bacterial SSU rRNA". It matches the Rfam family "Bacterial small subunit ribosomal RNA", at positions 28 to 507 of the family's 1533-position model. The record is from RNAcentral.